Molecule: small nuclear RNA, 105 nt
Filed under: Peromyscus maniculatus bairdii (prairie deer mouse)
Lineage: Eukaryota; Metazoa; Chordata; Mammalia; Rodentia; Cricetidae
Source: RNAcentral
GUGCUCACUUCAGUAGCACACACACUAAAUUGGAGCAAUCCAGAAAGAUUAACAUGGCCCUUGCACAAGGAUGACUUGUAAAUUCAUGAAGCAUUUCGUGUGUGU